GGGGAAUUUUCCGCAAUGGGCGAAAGCCUGACGGAGCAAUACCGCGUGAGGGAAGACUGCCUAUGGGUUGUAAACCUCUUUUUUCAGGGAGGAAUAAAAUGACGUGUACCUGAAGAAUAAGCAUCGGCUAACUCCGUGCCAGCAGCCGCGGUAAGACGGAGGGUGCAAGUGUUAUCCGGAAUCACUGGGCGUAAAGCGUCUGUAGGUGGUUUAAUAAGUCAACUGUUAAAUCUUGAGGCUCAACCUCAAAAUCGCAGUCGAAACUAUUAGACUAGAGUACAGUAGGGGUAAGGGGAAUUUCCAGUGGAGCGGCGAAAUGCGUAGAUAUUGGAAGGAACACCGAUGGCGAAGGCACUUUACUGGGCUAUUACUAACACUCAGAGACGAAAGCUAGGGUAGCAAAUGGGAUUAGAUACCCCAGUUAGUC
This 427-nucleotide ribosomal RNA is filed under the name uncultured cyanobacterium. Its description in RNAcentral is "bacterial SSU rRNA". It matches the Rfam family "Bacterial small subunit ribosomal RNA", at positions 356 to 795 of the family's 1533-position model. Lineage: Bacteria; Bacillati; Cyanobacteriota. The record is from RNAcentral.